UACAGAGGGGGCAAGCGUUAUUCGGAAUUAUUGGGCGUAAAGGGCGCGUAGGCGGCUUUUCAAGUGACGGGUGAAAUCCCUCGGCUUAACCGAGGAACUGCCUGUCAGACUGGAAGGCUUGAGACCGGGAGAGGUGAGUGGAAUUCCCAGUGUAGCGGUGAAAUGCGUAGAUAUUGGGAGGAACACCAGUGGCGAAGGCGGCUCACUGGACCAUAACUGACGCUGAUGCACGAAAGCUGGGGGAGCAAACAGG
RNAcentral lists this ribosomal RNA (253 nucleotides) under uncultured bacterium. Its description in RNAcentral is "partial 16S ribosomal RNA". It matches the Rfam family "Bacterial small subunit ribosomal RNA", at positions 524 to 776 of the family's 1533-position model. The record is from RNAcentral.